This 645-nucleotide small RNA is filed under the name Pongo abelii (Sumatran orangutan). RNAcentral's name for it is "retained intron". Lineage: Eukaryota; Metazoa; Chordata; Mammalia; Primates; Hominidae. The record is from RNAcentral.
CUUAGUCUUGCUUGUGGAUGGAAGCAAAUACUAUCACAGCGAGGAACUGGGACUUUGUGUGCGGACUCCUGGCUUGAUCUUUAUAGGAUUGGGUGUAUGUUGUUGGAACUGGCAGGCCAAGAGGCCCUGAAACCAGCAGGUGCCAUCUAUAUGGAGAAAAGCGGAUGUAGUCCAUUUCCAGUGUGUUGGGCCAAAGAAUAUGACAGAUACCUAGCAUCUAGCAAAAUAAUGGCAGCUGCUUACCUUGACCCCAACUUGAAUCACACGCCAAAUUCGAGUACUAAGACUCACCUGGGUACUGGUAUAGAACGUUCUCCUGGUGCGAUGGAGCGAGUAUUAAAGGUCUUUCAUUAUUUUGAAAGCAAUAGUGAGCCAACCACCUGGGCCAGUAUUAUCAGGCAUGGAGAUGCUACUGAUGUCAGGGUAAGUACGUUUUUUCCAUGAGACAUCUAAUGUUUAUUUAGGUUAAAAUGUAAUGGCAUGUAUGAAAAAAGUGUCAUAAUUUUUAUUUAACUUAUCAGGGACUUUUCAUAUUACAGAAAUGUUGUUUUUAAUUAUAAGAUUUAUUAGUUAAUAUGUGACUGACCAGCGUUCUAAUUGUUGUAAAGUUUCUUAGAAAAAUAAUGACCGAAUCAUAUUUUAGUC